AAUAGUGUGCUAGAUUCCGGUUGAUCCUGCCGGAGGUCACUGCUAUUGGGAUUCGACUAAGCCAUGCGAGUCGAGAGGGUUCGGCCCUCGGCUGACGGCUCAGUAACACGUGGAUAAUCUACCCUAAGGUGGAGGAUAACCUCGGGAAACUGAGAAUAAUACUCCAUAAGUCUAGGAUACUGGAAUGUACUUAGGCUGAAAACUUCGGUGCCCUAGGAUGAGUCUGCGGACUAUCAGGUUGUAGUCAGGGUAAAGACCUGACUAGCCUACAACGGAUACGGGUUGUGAGAGCAAUAACCCGGAGAUGAUAUCUGAGACACGAUAUCAGGCCCUACGGGGCGCAGCAGGCGCGAAAACUUCACACUGCGCGAAAGCGCGAUGAGGGAAUCCCAAGUGCUUGCACGUAAGUGUAAGCUGUUUCUAUGUCUAAAACGCAUAGAGAGUAAGAGCUGGGUAAGACGGGUGCCAGCCGCCGCGGUAAUACCUGCAGCUCAAGUGGUGGCCGUUAUUAUUGGGCCUAAAACGUCCGUAGCCGGUUUAUUAAAUGCCUGGGUAAAUCGGGCCGCUUAACGGUUCGAAUUCCGGGUAGACUGAUAAACUUGGGACCGGGAGAAGCUAGAGGUACUCCUGGGGUAGAGGUGAAAUUCUGUAAUCCUAGGGGGACCACCAGUGGCGAAGGCGUCUAGCUAGAACGGGUCUGACGGUGAGGGACGAAGCCCUGGGGCGCAAACCGGAUUAGAUACCCGGGUAGUCCAGGGUGUAAACGCUGCUUGCUUGAUGUUAGUCGGGCUCCGAGCCCGAUUAGUGUCGGAGAGAAGUUGUUAAGCAAGCUGCCUGGGAAGUACGGCCGCAAGACUGAAACUUAAAGGAAUUGGCGGGGGAGCACAGCAACGGGUGGAGCGUGCGGUUUAAUUGGAUUCAACGCCGGAAAGCUCACCGGAGGCGACGGUUAUAUGAAGGCCAAGCUGAUGACUUUGCCUGAUUUUCCGAGAGGUGGUGCAUGGCCGCCGUCAGUUCGUACCGUAAGGCGUUCUGUUAAGUCAGACAACGAACGAGACCCUCAUCUUUAAUUGCUACUGGUAAGUUCGCUUAUCAGGCACAUUAAAGAAACCGCUGGCGAUAAGUCAGAGGAAGGCGAGGGCAACGGUAGGUCAGUAUGCCCUGAAUCCUCCGGGCUACACGCGCGCUACAAAGGCUAGGACAAUGGGCUUCGACACCGAAAGGUGAAGGUAAUCUCGAAACCUAGUCAUAGUUCGGAUCGAGGGUUGUAACUCACCCUCGUGAAGCUGGAAUCCGUAGUAAUCGCGGAUCAACAUCCCGCGGUGAAUAUGCCCCUGCUCCUUGCACACACCGCCCGUCAAACCAUGCGAGUUGGGUCUGAGUGAGGCUAUAGUUUUUGCUACAGUCAAACUUAGGCUUAGUAAGCGGGGUUAAGUCGUAACAAGGUAUCCGUAGGGGAACCUGCGGAUGGAUCACCUCCUA
RNAcentral lists this ribosomal RNA (1482 nucleotides) under Thermoplasmata archaeon M8B2D. Its description in RNAcentral is "bacterial SSU rRNA". It matches the Rfam family "Archaeal small subunit ribosomal RNA". Lineage: Archaea; Methanobacteriati; Thermoplasmatota; Thermoplasmata. RNAcentral also lists the same sequence under 1 other name. The record is from RNAcentral.